This is a long non-coding RNA of Rosa chinensis, 738 nucleotides long. RefSeq lists it as uncharacterized. Lineage: Eukaryota; Viridiplantae; Streptophyta; Magnoliopsida; Rosales; Rosaceae. The transcript has 6 exons. The record is from RefSeq and is a predicted model, not a curated record.
UUUUCUCUCCAAGCAUAUAAGUCCCAGACCAGGUAGAAAACGAGCUCAAUACUGAUCUUCUGCGAGGUCGAAUUGGAGAUGGAUUUGAAGACAGAGGCCAAAUCGGAGAUGGAACCAUACAUGGGUCUUCAACGAAAAGUCCCAGAGUGUUGGAAGCUUGCAACUCGGCGCCUUGCUUCUCUCUGUGAGAAAUCAGAUGCAGAGAGGGAAACUCUGUGUUGGAUAUUAUGUGGCUAUGACGGGGUUCUCUGCUUUGCUUAUCAGCAUUGCAACAUUUCUCCCAUGUUGUGAGAAUCAUGGAUAAAUGUUUCUUCAGAGAAUAAACAUGGUUUUUCCUUUUCACAGAGACGAAGGAGCUGGUGAUAGUUUUUCUUGGAGAAAUUGAGCUCAUUUGAACAAAUAGGAAUAUCCGAUUGAGCUGGCACCCAUUUAAUCAAAUUGGGGGAUUUGAUUGAGCAAUCAGAGAUCUUUGAAGGAUUGAGCUCCGGUGUGAUUGUGGAAUCCCUGAAGGUGCUUAGCUUGCAAGGAUUUGCCUCAAUUUUGGAGCCUAACCUCUGCAGAAUUGCACGAUAUCGGCAUAUUGCUUUUGCUCCAGUCUGGCAAUGAGAAUGAGGUAUCAUUUAAUUGUGAAAGAAAGCUUUGGAGGAGAACAUAAUUGUGUAUCUGGAAACUGGUUGUGGAAAGACCUAAAUAGCCGUGUUGCUUAUGUAUGAACCAGUUGAUACUCAAACCUCAGAA